Molecule: ribosomal RNA, 301 nt
Filed under: uncultured bacterium
Lineage: Bacteria
Description: partial 16S ribosomal RNA
Rfam family: Bacterial small subunit ribosomal RNA
Source: RNAcentral
CAGCAGCCGCGGGAAAACGUAGGGUGCAAGCGUUAAUCGGAAUUACUGGGCGUAAAGCGUGCGCAGGCGGUUCGCUAAGACAGAUGUGAAAUCCCCGGGCUUAACCUGGGAACUGCAUUUGUGACUGGCGGGCUAGAGUAUGGCAGAGGGGGGUAGAAUUCCACGUGUAGCAGUGAAAUGCGUAGAGAUGUGGAGGAAUACCGAUGGCGAAGGCAUCCCCCUGGGCCAAUACUGACGCUCAUGCACGAAAGCGUGGGGAGCAAACAGGAUUAGAUACCCGCGUAGUCCCUGUCUCUUAUAC